RNAcentral lists this ribosomal RNA (394 nucleotides) under uncultured bacterium. Its description in RNAcentral is "partial 16S ribosomal RNA". It matches the Rfam family "Bacterial small subunit ribosomal RNA", at positions 523 to 918 of the family's 1533-position model. The record is from RNAcentral.
AUACGUAGGGAGCGAGCGUUGUCCGGAAUUACUGGGCGUAAAGGGCGCGUAGGCGGCGCUUCAAGUCGUCUGUCAAAUGGGAGGGCUUAACCCUUUUUCGCAGACGAAACUGGAGAGCUUGAGAAGCAGAGAGGCAAACAGAAUUCCUGGUGUAGCGGUGAAAUGCGUAGAUAUCAGGAAGAAUACCAGUGGCGAAGGCGUUUUGCUGGCUGCAUACUGACGCUGAAACGCGAAAGCCAGGGGAGCAAACGGGAUUAGAUACCCCGGUAGUCCUGGCAGUAAACGAUGUAUGCUGGGUGUGAGACUAGCGAUAGUUUCGUGCCGAAGUUAACGCGAUAAGCAUACCGCCUGGGGAGUACGGUCGCAAGAUUGAAACUCAAAGGAAUUGACGGGG